Molecule: ribosomal RNA, 374 nt
Filed under: uncultured eukaryote
Lineage: Eukaryota
Description: partial 18S ribosomal RNA
Rfam family: Eukaryotic small subunit ribosomal RNA
Source: RNAcentral
UAAUAGUGUAUAUUAAAGUUGUUGCAGUUAAAAAGCUCGUAGUUGAAUGUUGGUGUCGAACGAGCGGUCAGCUUCGGCUGUACUGCUCUCUCGACUCCUUCCUUCUGUGGACUACGUCGCACUUUACUGUGUGGCGCUAGGACGCAGAUCGUUUACUGUGAAAAAAUUAGAGUGUCCAAAGCAGGCCGUACGCUUGAAUACAUUAGCAUGGAAUAAUGGAAUAGGACGUCGGGCCUAUUUUGUUGGUUCUAGGACCGUCGUAAUGAUUAAUAGGGACAGUUGGGGCCGUUUAUAUUCCGUAGUCAGAGGUGAAAUUCUUGGAUUUACGGAAGAUAAACUACUGCGAAAGCAUUCGGCAAGGAUGUUUUCGUUAA